Molecule: ribosomal RNA, 262 nt
Filed under: uncultured bacterium
Lineage: Bacteria
Description: partial 16S ribosomal RNA
Rfam family: Bacterial small subunit ribosomal RNA
Source: RNAcentral
UACGAAGGGGGGCUAGCGUUGUUCGGAAUUACUGGGCGUAAAGCGCACGUAGGCGGAUAUUUUAAGUCAGGGGGUGAAAAUCCCCAGAGCUCAACUCUGGAACUGCCUUUUGAUACUGGGUAUCUCGAGUAUGGAAGAGGUGAGUGGAAUUCCGAGUGUAGAGGUGAAAAUUCGUAGAUAUUCGGAGGAACACCAGUGGCGAAGGCGGCUCACUGGUCCAUUACUGACGCUGAGGUGCGAAAAGCGUGGGGGAGCAAACAGG